This 245-nucleotide long non-coding RNA is filed under the name Marmota monax (woodchuck). The record is from RNAcentral. Lineage: Eukaryota; Metazoa; Chordata; Mammalia; Rodentia; Sciuridae.
GUUCAUCCGAUGACGGGUAAGGACCGUAUGUUGAAUUGGACUGCCUAACAGGCACAGUCCCUAAGCCACAUGCUUGUUGUUUAAACAGAGAGGGGGAGAUGUUGAGAGCCACAGCCUGAGGGGCCCCAGCAAACUUCCAGCUGCCGGCUGAUGAUUGGCUCACAGCGGCCCCAGCAACAUCUAGCUGAUUGGCUCCUCUGCGGUGCUGCUCAUUGGGGGACUUUUUUGGCUCAACCCACGUGACC